UGGUAUUACUGACUUUAUGCAGUCUACAAAUGUCUGCAUUUGUUUUUAUUUUAAAUGUAUGACCUAUUAAUUCCAAAGUUUGAGCGCAAAAACGGGUCGCUAAAUUUAUUUGUCGAGCAUUCAUUUUGGUUAGUUAACAAAUGAACACAUCCCAGAUUAAUUUUUCGGCGAAGUUUGUAUUAAAGAUUUGACAGAUUUUGACACAAAUGAUCCGUCAACUUGUUAAUGAAUUUUGAAAUUGAAUGUGCAGGUUUUCGCACGUUACAUUACCAUACUUGCCAAAAAAUUGUGUUCCUCAUUCUCAACAAAAGUGAUGGAUCGUGACUGAUUAAGGGAUUUCAUGGUUACCACUAAAUUUCCGCAAUCAAAUAUUCGUGGUCUUGCAUCAGCAACAGAAAAUGGUUCAUUUACAAACACUGGCUGUUUUCACUGCGGGCAUAGUAGGGGGGAUUUGUUUUGGAACUUAUAAAGAUGCAUUAUGGAAUUUUCUUGAUUUGGAUUCGAAAAGAAAACAGUGGACUGACUGGGGCUCCGAAUGUGAAGCACUAAAAGAGGAGGGGGAAUGUACCUGCUAUAACGAAGACUGAUCCAAUGAAACCAAAUUUUUAUUUGUCACAUUAAAAAUUAAUUACAAAAUGUCAUAAUAUUUGAA
This is a long non-coding RNA of Tribolium madens (black flour beetle), 652 nucleotides long. RefSeq lists it as uncharacterized. The record is from RefSeq and is a predicted model, not a curated record. NCBI's taxonomy places the organism in Eukaryota, Metazoa, Arthropoda, Insecta, Coleoptera, Tenebrionidae. The transcript has 2 exons.